Molecule: ribosomal RNA, 278 nt
Filed under: Chloroflexota bacterium
Lineage: Bacteria; Bacillati; Chloroflexota
Description: Chloroflexi bacterium (hot springs metagenome) partial 16S ribosomal RNA
Rfam family: Archaeal small subunit ribosomal RNA
Source: RNAcentral
GGAUGCCACCCCGUAAGGGGGAGCCAAUCCCCUAAACCCGCGCUUAGUUCGGAUCGAGGGCUGAAACUCGCCCUCGUGAAGGUGGAAUCCCUAGUAAUCGCGGGCCACUAUCCCGCGGUGAAUACGUCCCUGCUCCUUGCACACACCGCCCGUCAAGCCACGGGAGUCCGCUCCGCAAUAGGCGCUUCCAAGUUGGGGGCGUCGUUUGCGGGGUGGAUGACUGGGGCUAAGUCGUAACAAGGUAGCCGUAGGGGAACCUGCGGCUCGAUCACCUCCUA